RNAcentral lists this ribosomal RNA (253 nucleotides) under uncultured bacterium. RNAcentral describes it as "partial 16S ribosomal RNA". It matches the Rfam family "Bacterial small subunit ribosomal RNA", at positions 524 to 776 of the family's 1533-position model. The record is from RNAcentral.
UACGGAGGGUGCAAGCGUUAUCCGGAUUCACUGGGUUUAAAGGGUGCGUAGGCGGACAAUUAAGUCAGUGGUGAAAUCCUGGAGCUUAACUCCAGAACUGCCAUUGAUACUAUUUAUCUUGAAUAUUGUGGAGGUGAACGGAAUAUGUCAUGUAGCGGUGAAAUGCUUAGAUAUGACAUAGAACACCAAUUGCGAAGGCAGUUCGCUACACAAAUAUUGACGCUGAGGCACGAAAGCGUGGGGAUCAAACAGG